Molecule: ribosomal RNA, 507 nt
Filed under: uncultured bacterium
Lineage: Bacteria
Description: partial 16S ribosomal RNA
Rfam family: Bacterial small subunit ribosomal RNA
Source: RNAcentral
ACUCAAAGGAAUUGACGGGGGCCCGCACAAGCGGCGGAGCAUGUUGCUUAAUUCGACGCAACGCGAAGAACCUUACCAAGGUUUGACAUCACUCGAAAACUCACAGAGAUGUGGGGUCCUUUUGGGGCGGGUGACAGGUGGUGCAUGGCUGUCGUCAGCUCGUGUCGUGAGAUGUUGGGUUAAGUCCCGCAACGAGCGCAACCCUUGUUCCAUGUUGCCAGCGACGCCCUUUGGGGUGGUUGGGGACUCAUGGGAGACUGCCGGGGUCAACUCGGAGGAAGGUGGGGAUGACGUCAAGUCAUCAUGCCCCUUAUGUCUUGGGCUGCAAACAUGCUACAAUGGCUGGUACAGAGGGCUGCGAUGCCGUGAGGUGGAGCGAAUCCCUAAAAGCCGGUCUCAGUUCGGAUUGGGGUCUGCAACUCGACCCUAUGAAGUCGGAGUCGCUAGUAAUCGCAGAUCAGCAUUGCUGCGGUGAAUACGUUCCCGGGCCUUGUACACACCGCCCGU